GUCUCGUUAGCUCAGUAGGAUAGAGCGACUGCCUCCUAAGCAGUAGGUCGGAGGUUCGACUCCUCUACGGGACGCCA
This 77-nucleotide transfer RNA is filed under the name Escherichia coli. RNAcentral's name for it is "tRNA-Arg". It matches the Rfam family "tRNA". From Rfam's summary of the family: Transfer RNA (tRNA) molecules are approximately 80 nucleotides in length. Their secondary structure includes four short double-helical elements and three loops (D, anti-codon, and T loops). Further hydrogen bonds mediate the characteristic L-shaped molecular structure. tRNAs have two regions of fundamental functional importance: the anti-codon, which is responsible for specific mRNA codon recognition, and the 3' end, to which the tRNAs corresponding amino acid is attached (by aminoacyl-tRNA synthetases). tRNAs cope with the degeneracy of the genetic code in two manners: having more than one tRNA (with a specific anti-codon) for a particular amino acid; and 'wobble' base-pairing, i.e. permitting non-standard base-pairing at the 3rd anti-codon position. RNAcentral also lists the same sequence under 1 other name. The record is from RNAcentral. Lineage: Bacteria; Pseudomonadati; Pseudomonadota; Gammaproteobacteria; Enterobacterales; Enterobacteriaceae.